Molecule: long non-coding RNA, 203 nt
Organism: Polistes dominula (European paper wasp)
Lineage: Eukaryota; Metazoa; Arthropoda; Insecta; Hymenoptera; Vespidae
Source: RefSeq, a predicted model, not a curated record
CAAAAUUUCUAAUUUUUUCUAAACAAUUGUAACGUUUCGUAUAAUAAAAAAAAGGUUAAGACGUUAAGAUUAGGUAUUCUCUUUGAGUAUCACACUGAAAAAUAUUGAGGUUAGGCGUAAUACGAUCAACCCUAAAUGCUUACACUGUUUCACACUAUUCAAGGUUAUAAUAUAGUUAUUUUUAUGAAAAUACAGAGAGAAGA